CAGUCGCCACGGUAAUACGUAGGUGGCAAGCGUUGUCCGGAAUUAUUGGGCGUAAAGGGCUCGCAGGCGGUUUCUUAAGUCUGAUGUGAAAGCCCCCGGCUCAACCGGGGAGGGUCAUUGGAAACUGGGAAACUUGAGUGCGGAAGAGGAGAGUGGAAUUCCACGUGUAGCGGUGAAAUGCGUAGAGAUGUGGAGGAACACCAGUGGCGAAGGCGACUCCCUGGUCUGUAACUGACGCUGAGGAGCGAAAGCGUGGGGAGCGAACAGGAUUAGAUACCCCAGUAGUCCCUGUCUCUUAUAC
This 301-nucleotide ribosomal RNA is filed under the name uncultured bacterium. RNAcentral's name for it is "partial 16S ribosomal RNA". It matches the Rfam family "Bacterial small subunit ribosomal RNA", at positions 509 to 807 of the family's 1533-position model. The record is from RNAcentral.